Molecule: unclassified non-coding RNA, 199 nt
Filed under: plant metagenome
Description: partial contains small subunit ribosomal RNA, internal transcribed spacer 1, and 5.8S ribosomal RNA
Source: RNAcentral
UCUCCGUUGGUGAACCAGCGGAGGGAUCAUUACUGAGUGUUACAACUCCCAAACCCUUUGUGAACCUACCCUGUUUCCUCGGCGGCCCCGACGCGGGCCGCCGGGGGCACCAAACUCUGGCUUCUUUCAGUGGUAUUCUCUCUGAGUGGCACAAGCUAAAAAAUAAUCAAAACUUUCAACAACGGAUCUCUUGGUUCUG